AUGGACCAGGGGUUUGUGCAGGCCAUCACCAUGGUACGCCGAGGUGCUGCGGGUGUCAAGGAGGACGUCAGUUCUAGCUGCUUAGAUUACUCGAGGCAUGAUUUGAUUCGGUACAAGGGGUUCGUCAUGCCAGGCUCCUCUUUUCUGCUGCUUCCAUGCAACGGUGGUGGCAGCUGUGUUUUUCGGCAUCGGCUACAAAAACAGCCAUGGGCGACCGAGGAAGGCAUGUUGUCUGUUUUCUUGAAGGCCGUUCUGUUUGUUCCCAGCCCUAACUACGGUUGUCCAGCUAGUUCGGCAUGUUGUUCAUAUCACUAUGGUAGUCCAACGAGUUUGGCAUGUUGUAAGUUUGGCAUGUUCAUGACGGGAGCAGGUGCCAGUUUGUGA
RNAcentral lists this ribosomal RNA (384 nucleotides) under Triticum aestivum (bread wheat). Its description in RNAcentral is "partial small subunit ribosomal RNA". The record is from RNAcentral. Lineage: Eukaryota; Viridiplantae; Streptophyta; Magnoliopsida; Poales; Poaceae.